GGAAGCAAAAGUCGUAACAAGGUCUCCGUUGGUGAACCAGCGGAGGGAUCAUUACCGAGUUUACAACUCCCAAACCCCAUGUGAACCUUACCAAACGUUGCUUCGGCGGGAUGCCCCGGGCGCGGGCCGCAAGGCCUCAGCCCCGGAACCAGGCGCCCGCCGGAGGCCCAAACCAAACUCUUGUUUUUGUAGAAUCUUCUGAGUGGCCUUUUAGGCAAAAAAUGAAUCAAACUUUCAACAACGGAUCUCUUGGUUCUG
This 258-nucleotide unclassified non-coding RNA is filed under the name plant metagenome. Its description in RNAcentral is "partial contains small subunit ribosomal RNA, internal transcribed spacer 1, and 5.8S ribosomal RNA". The stretch from base 1 to 54 matches the Rfam family "Eukaryotic small subunit ribosomal RNA", at positions 1778 to 1831 of the family's 1831-position model. The record is from RNAcentral.